RNAcentral lists this ribosomal RNA (252 nucleotides) under Paenibacillus sp. RNAcentral's name for it is "partial 16S ribosomal RNA". It matches the Rfam family "Bacterial small subunit ribosomal RNA", at positions 524 to 776 of the family's 1533-position model. The record is from RNAcentral. Lineage: Bacteria; Bacillati; Bacillota; Bacilli; Caryophanales; Paenibacillaceae. RNAcentral also lists the same sequence under 1 other name.
UACGUAGGGGGCAAGCGUUGUCCGGAAUUAUUGGGCGUAAAGCGCGCGCAGGCGGUGAUUUAAGUUUGGUGUCUAAGGCUGGGGCUCAACCCCGGCACGCACUGAAAACUGGGUGACUGGAGUGCGGGAGAGGAAAGUGGAAUUCCACGUGUAGCGGUGAAAUGCGUAGAGAUGUGGAGGAACACCAGUGGCGAAGGCGACUUUCUGGACCGUAACUGACGCUGAGGCGCGAAAGCGUGGGGAGCAAACAGG